Canis lupus familiaris (dog) is the source of this 1672-nucleotide long non-coding RNA. RefSeq lists it as uncharacterized. The transcript is spliced from 3 exons. The record is from RefSeq and is a predicted model, not a curated record. Lineage: Eukaryota; Metazoa; Chordata; Mammalia; Carnivora; Canidae.
UUUUGAAUUGUGCCAAAAAAUAUAGAAAAUGAGACAAAAUGGCUCAUCAGUUUUAACUUUUCUGGGGUUUUCACAGGUUGUAUGGGUUCACAAGUUGAAGUGCAUCUUGCAGUCCACUAGGAAAGUCCUUGACUUGGCAUUUUAGGAAAACCUUUUAAAAAUCAUUCCCCAUGAAAGGUGUCAGUAAGCUAUAUUUUGGCUUCGACAGAUUCCUUCAUCCUCAGGUUCUUGGAGUUUGAUAAAAUAAUGUAGUUGGCAUAAUUUUCCAAGCAUCACUUGACUUAGAGGUACCUCCUAUGGUAUGGAAUCCUCCAGAAGGCUUCCCUGUUCUGUUCUGUGCAUUUCACAAGGAGACCCCAAGACAUGGCCUCCGGGCCGAGUCGGAGGAGUGUGACAAGCCCGGCGUGGGCCCUGUGCUCGGCUCUGCACCGCUCCCUCCCCGUGGGCACCCCUUCCUCCUUGCUCCUGAGGACGUCCCUGCAGGGGGGCAGAGCGCAGAUGACGAGCUGGGGCCCUGGUUCACUGGACAGCGAGGGCUGUGGCGUCCAGGGCUCCUCCGCAGGGACAGGCGGCUGAGGAGGGGAGCUAGCAGCUUCAUGGAACAAUGCAAGCUGUCCGAGACUUGGGCACGUCGUCCCCUGUCUGCCGAGUCCCUUCCUCCUCGUGUGCCAGGCCAGCUCCUCCUGCGUCCUGACGUCUGAUGCUCCGUGUGUGCCUGUUCUUUCCCUCCUUUCCUCCUCCUGUGCUUCUUACGGCCUUACUCGUCUGAGGCCGUCAGCAGGGGUGUGCACAGCCCCCCUCCGUUGUGGCUCGUGCUCUCAUCCCCCAGCUAGGCCCGAAGGCACUCGGUUCCUGGGUGCCGUCCUGCAGCUCUCGUGCCUUAUCUUGUAGCCCUCCCAACCGUCCAGUGCCGAGUGGGUGCUCAGGGGGACCCUUCGGCCGGGGUGGGUGUGUAGUCCUGUUUGGAGGACAAGCAGGUCUGCCCAUGUGAAAGCCCACAGACGCAUACAGGGUCACAUCAGAAGGAAAUUGCAGACUGGGUGUGGAUGAAAGUAAGGCACGCUGUGCUUGGAGCAGCAGCAGCUCGGUGGCUGUGCUUGACCUUGGGGUCACCUGAGGAGAGCACACGAUACCGGGUGGUGAGCCGGGACGGCAUGGCCGUUCAGAUGCAAGGUGGUGGACGUGGCGGAUUCAGGCAGCCAGUGCACUUGCUUCCGUGACAGCUUGACGCUCGGCCUCUGCUCGUGGAUGUGCUCGUGGAAUAAUAGGCCUUUCAGCUCGGUUCCUGAGGGUCCGUGCUCCCAAGCUCAUCUGUUUGCUGCUUCCCACAGUGGGAAGCCAUUGGGAUAUUGAAUGGGAGUUGUUCCACACUGAGUCCCCCAUGCUGGGGUGCAGGGGGUCCCUCUGGGUGCGGCCCUUGGUGAUGGGCAGCCGGGCAGGUGCGCAAGAGGAGGACCAGGAUAGAAGGACGUCACACCUGAGGUGGAGCCAGAAGGUCUCAGCGGACCACAGACCCAGUGUGACCCGUGCUGCUGCCAAAAAUCAGUACUCACGUGACAGACCAGGGCUGCAACUCCGUUAACACUUGGUCCUUGAACAUUUGAGGCUGUCGCACCACACAGGAAUAAAAGGAUAGGGGAUCCCUGGGUGGCUCAGCGGUUGAACGUCUGCC